UCCGUAGGGUGCGAGCGUUAAUCGGAAUUACUGGGCGUAAAGCGUGCGCAGGUGGUUCGUUGUGUCUGAUGUGAAAGCCCCGGGCUCAACCUGGGAAUGGCAUUGGAAACUGUCGAGCUGGAGUGCGGCAGAGGGGGGUGGAAUUCCGCGUGUAGCAGUGAAAUGCGUAGAGAUGCGGAGGAACACCGAUGGCGAAGGCAGCCCCCUGGGCCGACACUGACGCUCAGGCACGAAAGCGUGGGGAGCAAACAGG
This 253-nucleotide ribosomal RNA is filed under the name uncultured bacterium. RNAcentral's name for it is "partial 16S ribosomal RNA". It matches the Rfam family "Bacterial small subunit ribosomal RNA", at positions 524 to 776 of the family's 1533-position model. The record is from RNAcentral.